This is a long non-coding RNA of Mus musculus (house mouse), 535 nucleotides long. RefSeq annotates it as predicted gene, 38588. NCBI's taxonomy places the organism in Eukaryota, Metazoa, Chordata, Mammalia, Rodentia, Muridae. The record is from RefSeq and is a predicted model, not a curated record. The transcript is spliced from 2 exons.
GCUGGAAGAGGGAGGGCAGUGGUAGGCUUAACUAACUGUAUCGACUUGCCUGGAGACUCCACCUGACCACUGAAGGGCAGCGAGGAAUCAGUGUCCUGUCACCACACAGAAGGCCUGGGGGCACCGGGAGCAGGCAGCACAGCUAACCACCAGGAGACUGGGCACACCUACGGGAUGCAUGCAGACAGGAUCAAGUUUGUUCUGAGGAAGAGUUCAGACCUCAAACCCUGGUGUCCUGCCUGCCUGCCGCUCAGAGGAGAGAGAGAGCCAGCAGGCACCACCCACCCAGCCCGGAAGAGACCAGAGAGCAGAGUCCUCAACGCCCAGGGCUUUCCGAGAGAUCACAGGUCUGAAAAGGAGCAGCUUCGGGGAGAAGGGCAAGCAUCCCCUGACAUAGCCCGGCCUCCUUGUCUGGAUUAAUCACGGGAUCUCCACGGCUGCUGCUAUCUAACUGAUGCCAAAACAUGUCUUCCCCCCCCCCCAUUCCCUUUUGUACCUUAGGGAAUCAGCUGUAGUAAAAGACACAUGGCUCCUG